AAAGGCUGCUAACCUGUGAACUUUUAGACGGCAGCAAUUUCAAUAUUUAAACUUAUUAGAUUGAUGAAGAAAACAGAAACUACAUGAGACAAAUCAGAAACUGCACUUCCAUUAGACCAGUACAUCAUACCCUUACUAUGAAAUCACAUUCUCUCACAGAUUUCCUCCCUCUCUAAAUUCCAAUUACAAUCAUAUACCCUCAUCCUCUCCAUCAUUUUAUUUUUCUCCCUCCCUUUCUCGCACUUUCACCUUUUCGUAACACCCUUAACCACCUACAUUGUACCACCUAUACCCCUUCUUCGUCGUGUUAAAUCCCUAUGAGAAAAUUGGGUUAGUAGAUGAAUACGAUAUUAUAAGAUGUACCAGAAAUGGAAGAAUUUACAUUUUAGAAAUAUGAAGGAAAUUUAGUAAUAAUUGACACCAAACAUAAAUAUAUGAUACUGAGCCACCUUUAGAAAUGUAGUCUUAUUUUCUACACAUAAUGGUCAUCAUAGCAUUCGUACAAAAGAUUAACAGCCAAAGUUACAGAAAGCCAAAUUGUGUAAUGUAAAUUUUAAAAAUAGAAUGCUACUUUGAUUGAUAAACAUUAUGAAUGCCAAAAGUGUAUAUUUAACUCUCAAUUUUUAAGUGUUUUGGGUGUGUUGAUGAAAAAAUAUGUUGCAAAAAAUGAGAAAAAAAACAUAAAUAAAAAAUGCCAAAUAGUAAAACAACAUGUAAAAGCAAAAGGCCAAAUGAAAAAAUGCCAAAGUUAAAAAAUGCCAAAUGGUAUUAAAAAUACCUGUCUGCUAAUGUACUAGCCAGCCGGCCUGAGGGUUAGCUGGACUUUAAGGUGCUAGUUCACCAAGACAAAUGCCCACAGUGGGUCACCUAUCUUUUCCUUUUGGAGUACCAGUUUUUUAGUCUCCGAUUUGACUUGGUGGGCUUAAAAUUAACUGAGAUAAAAUUGAAAAGUAUAUAAAAAAAUAGUCAUAUGUACAAUUUAAAAAUGUUGUCAUAACAAAAUUAAAAUAUCCCCUUAGACCCCCAUUCCCAAAUGGAUAAAAAUAAAUUAAAAUAUCCCUUUUUCCCCAAAUAAAACGAAGGUAAACAAGAUUUUUUGACCUAGCCACCAAGCGCGGUGCCACCAGGCUAGGAUCAGACCUAGCCACCGCGCUUGGUGCCUCCAGGCUAGGAUCGAGCCUCCUCACUCAGUUUGUACAAGUAAUAGCAGAUACUUGAUACGUAUGGUAGGGGACGUUACUAUACCUAAAAGGGAGGUAUAGUAUCUGUGAACCCUAAACACAGAGCGCGG
This 1291-nucleotide long non-coding RNA is filed under the name Mytilus galloprovincialis (Mediterranean mussel). The record is from RNAcentral. Lineage: Eukaryota; Metazoa; Mollusca; Bivalvia; Mytilida; Mytilidae.